GAGUUUGAUCGUGGCUCAGAUUGAACGCUGGCGGCAUGCCUUACACAUGCAAGUCGAACGGCAGCAUGAUCUAGCUUGCUAGAUUGAUGGCGAGUGGCGAACGGGUGAGUAAUACAUCGGAACGUGCCCUGUAGUGGGGAUAACUAGUCGAAAGAUUAGCUAAUACCGCAUACGACCUGAGGGUGAAAGUGGGGACCGCAAGGCCUCAUGCUAUAGGAGCGGCCGAUGUCUGAUUAGUCUAGUUGGUUGGGGUAAAGGCCCACCAAGGCGACGAUCAGUAGCCGGUCUGAGAGGACGAUCAGCCACACUGGGACUGAGACACGGCCCAGACUCCUACGGGAGGCAGCAGUGGGAA
Molecule: ribosomal RNA, 355 nt
Filed under: uncultured microorganism
Description: bacterial SSU rRNA
Rfam family: Bacterial small subunit ribosomal RNA
Source: RNAcentral